RNAcentral lists this ribosomal RNA (1184 nucleotides) under Candida maltosa. RNAcentral's name for it is "eukaryotic LSU rRNA". The stretch from base 589 to 1184 matches the Rfam family "Eukaryotic large subunit ribosomal RNA", at positions 1 to 602 of the family's 3401-position model. The record is from RNAcentral. Lineage: Eukaryota; Fungi; Ascomycota; Pichiomycetes; Serinales; Debaryomycetaceae.
UGUACACACCGCCCGUCGCUACUACCGAUUGAAUGGCUUAGUGAGGCCUCCGGAUUGGUUUAGGAAAGGGGGCAACUCCACUUCUGGAACCGAGAAGCUGGUCAAACUUGGUCAUUUAGAGGAAGUAAAAGUCGUAACAAGGUUUCCGUAGGUGAACCUGCGGAAGGAUCAUUACUGAUUUGCUUAAUUGCACCACAUGUGUUUUCUAUUAUUAUGAAACUUUCUUUGGCGGUGAGACGUAAAACUCACGCCGCCAGAGGUUUACUAAAACUAAAUUUAAAUAUUUUGUCAUUUUUUGUUAUUAUUUAUUUAAUAGUCAAAACUUUCAACAACGGAUCUCUUGGUUCUCGCAUCGAUGAAGAACGCAGCGAAAUGCGAUACGUAAUAUGAAUUGCAGAUAUUCGUGAAUCAUCGAAUCUUUGAACGCACAUUGCGCCCUCUGGUAUUCCAGAGGGCAUGCCUGUUUGAGCGUCAUUUCUCCCUCAAACCCUUGGGUUUGGUGUUGAGCAAUACGCGAUACGGUUUGUUUGAAAUAUAGUAAUGUACCGACGUAAACGACUUAGUGAGUACUCAUGCUUUUUCAACAUUUGACCUCAAAUCAGGUAGGACUACCCGCUGAACUUAAGCAUAUCAAUAAGCGGAGGAAAAGAAACCAACAGGGAUUGCCUUAGUAGCGGCGAGUGAAGCGGCAAAAGCUCAAAUUUGAAAUCUGGUACUUUCAGUGCCCGAGUUGUAAUUUGAAGAAGGUAUCUUUGGGUCUGGCGCUUGUCUAUGUUUCUUGGAACAGAACGUCACAGAGGGUGAGAAUCCCGUGCGAUGAGAUGAUCCAGACCUAUGUAAAGUUCCUUCGACGAGUCGAGUUGUUUGGGAAUGCAGCUCUAAGUGGGUGGUAAAUUCCAUCUAAAGCUAAAUAUUGGCGAGAGACCGAUAGCGAACAAGUACAGUGAUGGAAAGAUGAAAAGAACUUUGAAAAGAGAGUGAAAAAGUACGUGAAAUUGUUGAAAGGGAAGGGCUUGAGAUCAGACUUGGUAUUUUGUAUGUUACUUCUUCGGGGGUGGCCUCUACAGUUUAUCGGGCCAGCAUCAGUUUGGACGGUAGGACAAUUGCGGUGGAAUGUGGCACGGCUUCGGUUGUGUGUUAUAGCCACUGUCGAUACUGCCAGUCUAGACUGAGGACUGCGGUUU